This 212-nucleotide non-coding RNA is filed under the name Domibacillus enclensis. RNAcentral's name for it is "T-box sequence". It matches the Rfam family "T-box leader". Rfam says of the family: Uncharged tRNA acts as the effector for transcription antitermination of genes in the T-box leader family. T-boxes are found upstream of many aminoacyl-tRNA synthetase genes and some amino acid biosynthetic genes usually in Gram-positive bacteria. Lineage: Bacteria; Bacillati; Bacillota; Bacilli; Caryophanales; Bacillaceae. The record is from RNAcentral.
AAACAAGCAAUGAACGGAAUAAGUAGUCUCCUGUCCCUGUUUUAAAGAGAGCUUUCGGCUGGUGGAAGAAAGCACAAACAGUGAGAUGAAUUACCUCCCGGAGCUUUCACCGCGAAGGAAUAGUAGCGGCUGACGUCUGCCGUCGUUACCGGUUUAGAGUGGAGAAUGGUUUCUCAAGCUUGGGUGGUACCGCGCGUAAAAGCGUCCCUGCA